RNAcentral lists this ribosomal RNA (440 nucleotides) under uncultured bacterium. RNAcentral's name for it is "partial 16S ribosomal RNA". It matches the Rfam family "Bacterial small subunit ribosomal RNA", at positions 338 to 795 of the family's 1533-position model. The record is from RNAcentral.
CCUACGGGAGGCAGCAGUGGGGGAUAUUGCACAAUGGGGGGAACCCUGAUGGAGCGACGCCGCGUGGGUGAAGAAGGGCCUCGGCGCGUAAAGCGCUGUCAGAAGGGAAGAAAAUGACGGUACCUGAAGAAGAAGCCCCGGCUAACUACGUGCCAGAAGCCGCGGGAAUACGUAGGGGGCAAGCGGUAUCCGGAUGUACUGGGUGAAAAGGGGGCGCAGACGGCGAUGCAAGCCAGGGGUGAAAGCCCGGGGCCCAACCCCGGGACUGCUUUUGGAACUGCGUGGCUGGAGUGCAGGAGAGGCAGGCGGAAUUCCUGGUGUAGCGGUGAAAUGCGUAGAUAUCAGGAGGAACACCGGUGGCGAAGGCGGCCUGCUGGACUGCAACUGACGUUGAGGCCCGAAAGCGUGGGGAGCAAACAGGAUUAGAUACCCGUGUAGUC